GCCGAGGUGGCGGAAUUGGUAGACGCGCUAGAUUCAGGUUCUAGUGUCCGCAAGGAUGUGCGAGUUCGAGUCUCGCCCUCGGCACCA
Molecule: transfer RNA, 87 nt
Filed under: Methanobacteriota archaeon
Lineage: Archaea; Methanobacteriati; Methanobacteriota
Also listed under: 1 other name
Description: Euryarchaeota archaeon tRNA-Leu
Rfam family: tRNA
About the family: Transfer RNA (tRNA) molecules are approximately 80 nucleotides in length. Their secondary structure includes four short double-helical elements and three loops (D, anti-codon, and T loops).
Source: RNAcentral